AUGUCGGGCCGCGGCAAGGGAGGGAAGGGGCUGGGCAAGGGCGGCGCCAAGCGCCACCGGAAGGUGCUCCGGGACAACAUCCAGGGCAUCACCAAGCCGGCCAUCCGGCGGCUGGCCCGCCGUGGCGGCGUGAAGCGCAUCUCGGGGCUCAUCUACGAGGAGACCCGCGGCGUGCUCAAGAUCUUCCUCGAGAACGUCAUCCGCGACGCCGUCACCUACACCGAGCACGCCCGCCGCAAGACCGUCACCGCCAUGGACGUCGUCUACGCGCUCAAGCGCCAGGGACGCACCCUCUACGGAUUCGGCGGCUAG
RNAcentral lists this ribosomal RNA (312 nucleotides) under Triticum aestivum (bread wheat). RNAcentral describes it as "partial small subunit ribosomal RNA". The record is from RNAcentral. Lineage: Eukaryota; Viridiplantae; Streptophyta; Magnoliopsida; Poales; Poaceae.